GCCCUUGUAGCUUAAUGGUAAAGCGCUCGCACUUCAAAAAGCUUUGACCGCGAGUGAAUCGAGGUUCAAGUCCUCGUGUUGUUU
Non-coding RNA from Endogone sp. FLAS-F59071, 84 nucleotides. NCBI's taxonomy places the organism in Eukaryota, Fungi, Mucoromycota, Endogonomycetes, Endogonales, Endogonaceae. The record is from the annotation of a GenBank genome assembly.